AACGCAUAUUGCGCCGCGCGGUAUUCCGCGCGGCACGUCCGACCGAGCGCCGCUGCAACGCUCGCAGGCCUCCUGGCAGCGGGAGGGCCCGCGGUGCUGGGGGAACCGAGGCGACCCGGCCCCCCGAAACUCAGCGGCGGCCGAAGCGGCGAGCCCUGGCGUAGUAAGACACACCUCGCCCGGGGGGACCCGUAGCGGCCGGCCAUAACGGGCGCUGCUCGAACAGACCCAAGGAAAAGAGAGUUGGCCUCGGGUCGGACGAGGUUACCCGCUGAACUUAA
RNAcentral lists this unclassified non-coding RNA (281 nucleotides) under uncultured fungus. Its description in RNAcentral is "partial internal transcribed spacer 2". The record is from RNAcentral. Lineage: Eukaryota; Fungi.